GCUAGAAUAGUUCAAUUGGUUAGAGUGUGUGAUUGUUAACUAUAAGGUUGGAGGUUUGAGCUCUCCUUCUAAUG
RNAcentral lists this transfer RNA (74 nucleotides) under Ipomoea nil (Japanese morning glory). It matches the Rfam family "tRNA". Rfam says of the family: Transfer RNA (tRNA) molecules are approximately 80 nucleotides in length. Their secondary structure includes four short double-helical elements and three loops (D, anti-codon, and T loops). The record is from Rfam by way of RNAcentral. Lineage: Eukaryota; Viridiplantae; Streptophyta; Magnoliopsida; Solanales; Convolvulaceae.